GGGUAUAUGGCUUAAUGGUAGAGUGCUUGCCUAGCAUGCAUGAAACCCUGGGUUCGAUUCCUCAGUACCA
Molecule: transfer RNA, 70 nt
Filed under: Dipodomys ordii (Ord's kangaroo rat)
Lineage: Eukaryota; Metazoa; Chordata; Mammalia; Rodentia; Heteromyidae
Rfam family: tRNA
About the family: Transfer RNA (tRNA) molecules are approximately 80 nucleotides in length. Their secondary structure includes four short double-helical elements and three loops (D, anti-codon, and T loops).
Source: Rfam by way of RNAcentral